GACGAACGCUGGCGGCGUGCUUAACACAUGCAAGUCGAACGGAAAGGCCCUGCUUUUGUGGGGUGCUCGAGUGGCGAACGGGUGAGUAACGCGAGAGUAACCUGCCCUUGACUUUGGGAUAACUUCAGGAAACUGGGGCUAAUACCGGAUAGGAGCUCCUGCUGCUUGGUGGGGGUUGGAAAGUUUCGGCGGUUGGGGAUGGACUCGCGGGUUAUCAGCUUGUUGGUGGGGUAGUGGCUUACCAAGGCUUUUACGGGUAGGCGGCCUGAGAGGGUGACCGGGCACAUUGGGACUGAGAUACGGCCCAGACUCCUGCGGGGGACAGUGGUGGGGAAUCUUGCACAAUGGGCGGAAGCCUGAUGCAGCAGCGCCGCGUGCGGGAUGUCGGCCUUUGGGUUGUAAACCGCUUUCGCCUGUGACGAAGCGUUGGUGACGGUAAUGGGUAAAGAAGCACCGGCUAACUACGUG
Molecule: ribosomal RNA, 468 nt
Filed under: uncultured bacterium
Lineage: Bacteria
Description: partial 16S ribosomal RNA
Rfam family: Bacterial small subunit ribosomal RNA
Source: RNAcentral